RNAcentral lists this ribosomal RNA (253 nucleotides) under uncultured bacterium. Its description in RNAcentral is "partial 16S ribosomal RNA". It matches the Rfam family "Bacterial small subunit ribosomal RNA", at positions 524 to 776 of the family's 1533-position model. The record is from RNAcentral.
UACGUAGGGGGCGAGCGUUGUCCGGAAUUAUUGGGCGUAAAGAGCUUGUAGGCGGUCUGUCGCGUCUGCUGUGAAAAUCCGGGGCUCAACCUCGGACUUGCAGUGGGUACGGGCAGACUAGAGUGUGGUAGGGGAGACUGGAAUUCCCGGUGUAGCGGUGAAAUGCGUAGAGAUCGGGAGGAACACCGGUGGCGAAGGCGGGUCUCUGGGCCGAAAUUGACGCUGAGGAGCGAAAGCGUGGGGAGCAAACAGG